GAUGAACGCUGGCGGCGUGCCUAAUACAUGCAAGUCGAGCGAACGGACGAGAAGCUUGCUUCUCUGAUGUUAGCGGCGGACGGGUGAGUAACACGUGGAUAACCUACCUAUAAGACUGGGAUAACUUCGGGAAACCGGAGCUAAUACCGGAUAAUAUUUUGAACCGCAUGGUUCAAAAGUGAAAGACGGUCUUGCUGUCACUUAUAGAUGGAUCCGCGCUGCAUUAGCUAGUUGGUAAGGUAACGGCUUACCAAGGCAACGAUGCAUAGCCGACCUGAGAGGGUGAUCGGCCACACUGGAACUGAGACACGGUCAAGACUCCUACGGGAGGCAGCAGUAGGGAAUCUUCCGCAAUGGGCGAAAGCCUGACGGAGCAACGCCGCGUGAGUGAUGAAGGUCUUCGGAUCGUAAAACUCUGUUAUUAGGGAAGAACAUAUGUGUAAGUAACUGUGCACAUCUUGACGGUACUUAAUCAGAAAGCCACGGCUAACUACGUG
This 497-nucleotide ribosomal RNA is filed under the name uncultured bacterium. RNAcentral's name for it is "partial 16S ribosomal RNA". It matches the Rfam family "Bacterial small subunit ribosomal RNA", at positions 28 to 507 of the family's 1533-position model. The record is from RNAcentral.